This 277-nucleotide long non-coding RNA is filed under the name Homo sapiens (human). RNAcentral describes it as "HSALNT0048451". Lineage: Eukaryota; Metazoa; Chordata; Mammalia; Primates; Hominidae. The record is from RNAcentral.
CCACCAUGCCUGGCUAAUUUUUGUACUUUUUUGUAGAGACAUGGUCUCACUCUGUUGCCCUGCCUGGUCUCAAAUUCCUGGGCUCAAGUGAUCCUCCUGCUUCAGCCUCCCAGAGGGCAGGAAUUACAGGUGUCAUCCACUGAGCCCGGCCCUCAGUUUCAAUUUCUAAUAUGGUGAAUAUUGGUAGAUAUAGCCAGCAAAAGCCAAAUAUCUUUGGUUCCUCGUUGGUUUUUCAGAGUAUAGAGGAAGGAAUAGUAACUGUCAAUCACAUCCCAAC